AACAGGAUUAGAUACCCUGGUAGUCCACGCCGUAAACGAUGGGUACUAGGUUUGGUGAGUCUUGACCCCCGCCGAACCGGAGCUAACGCAAUAAGUACCCCGCCUGGGAAGUACGGUCGCAAGACUAAAACUCAAAGGAAUUGACGGGGGCCCGCACAAGCGGUGGAUCAUGUGGUUUAAUUCGAAGCAACGCGAAGAACCUUACCUGGGUUUGACAUCCUUUGACAAACGUAGAGAUACGUCUUUUGUAGCAAUACAACAAAGUGACAGGUGCUGCAUGGCUGUCGUCAGCUCGUGGGGUGACAUGUUGGGUUAAGUCCCGCAACGAGCGCAACCCUUGUCUUUAGUUGCCAGCAUUAAGUUGGGCUCUCUAAAGAGACUGCCGUGGUGAACACGGAGGAAGGUGGGGAUGACGUCAAGUCCUCAUGGCCUUUAUAUCCAGGGCGACACACGUGAUACAAUGGACGGUACAGAGGGAAGCGAAACCGCGAGGUGGAGCCAAUCUCAAAAAGCCGUUCUCAGUUCGGAUUGGAGUCUGCAAUUCGACUCCAUGAAGUUGGAAUCGCUAGUAAUCGCGGAUCGGCACGCCGCGGUGAAUACGUUCCCGGGCCUUGUACACACCGCCCGUCACACCAUGGGAGCUGACUCAACCAGAAGACGGUCAGGAUAACCGCAAGGAGUCCUCCGGCGAAGGUGGGGUUGGUGACUGGGGUGAAGUCGUAACAAGGUAACC
Molecule: ribosomal RNA, 733 nt
Filed under: uncultured bacterium
Lineage: Bacteria
Description: bacterial SSU rRNA
Rfam family: Bacterial small subunit ribosomal RNA
Source: RNAcentral